AGAAGGGAAAUAUCUCCCAGCCACCCUGGUC
RNAcentral lists this non-coding RNA (31 nucleotides) under Homo sapiens (human). Lineage: Eukaryota; Metazoa; Chordata; Mammalia; Primates; Hominidae. The record is from RNAcentral.